AGCUACUUCACUGUGGCAAGACUUGAAAGUUAUGGAUAUAAGAAGUUUUUUCCAAAAGAAAAUGGAUGAAGGCAAUGAGGCACAGCAGUUUUCAUCGUUGAGUGGAGGGUUUUUUCUUUGUGCUGCGUCUGCAGUUACCAGCUGUGACCACAGGUGGCGCCAAAUCCACCAGGACUGAAAUUUUAUUGGAGCAGCACCUAGUGGUCACACGAGGAACUGCAGCUGGAGUUUGGACAGAAGACACAACAGACCAGGUUUUAUUUUG
Long non-coding RNA from Thunnus maccoyii (southern bluefin tuna), 265 nucleotides. RefSeq lists it as uncharacterized. The record is from RefSeq and is a predicted model, not a curated record. Lineage: Eukaryota; Metazoa; Chordata; Actinopteri; Scombriformes; Scombridae. The transcript is spliced from 3 exons.